This is a long non-coding RNA of Octopus sinensis (East Asian common octopus), 116 nucleotides long. RefSeq lists it as uncharacterized. The transcript is spliced from 2 exons. The record is from RefSeq and is a predicted model, not a curated record. Lineage: Eukaryota; Metazoa; Mollusca; Cephalopoda; Octopoda; Octopodidae.
UGCCGAAUGUAAAGGAAUAGAACAUUAAAGCUGCUAAAAUACGGAAGCCAUGUUAUUUUAAUAAUGGGUUUUACACUAGGGCUCACGAUUGGAUGAAUCAGUAGAGUGUCUAAAAA